This 65-nucleotide transfer RNA is filed under the name Acisoma panorpoides. Its description in RNAcentral is "tRNA-Asp". It matches the Rfam family "tRNA". From Rfam's summary of the family: Transfer RNA (tRNA) molecules are approximately 80 nucleotides in length. Their secondary structure includes four short double-helical elements and three loops (D, anti-codon, and T loops). Further hydrogen bonds mediate the characteristic L-shaped molecular structure. tRNAs have two regions of fundamental functional importance: the anti-codon, which is responsible for specific mRNA codon recognition, and the 3' end, to which the tRNAs corresponding amino acid is attached (by aminoacyl-tRNA synthetases). tRNAs cope with the degeneracy of the genetic code in two manners: having more than one tRNA (with a specific anti-codon) for a particular amino acid; and 'wobble' base-pairing, i.e. permitting non-standard base-pairing at the 3rd anti-codon position. The record is from RNAcentral. Lineage: Eukaryota; Metazoa; Arthropoda; Insecta; Odonata; Libellulidae.
AAGAAAUUAGUUAAAGUAUAACAUUAGAUUGUCAAGCUAAAAUUACUAAUAAUUAGUAUUUCUUA